RNAcentral lists this ribosomal RNA (235 nucleotides) under uncultured bacterium. RNAcentral describes it as "partial 16S ribosomal RNA". It matches the Rfam family "Bacterial small subunit ribosomal RNA", at positions 99 to 334 of the family's 1533-position model. The record is from RNAcentral.
CGGACGGGUGAGUAACGCGUGGAUAACCUGCCUCACACUGGGGGAUAACAGUUAGAAACGACUGCUAAUACCGCAUGAGCGCACAGUACCGCAUGGUACGGUGUGAAAAACUCCGGUGGUGUGAGAUGGAUCCGCGUCUGAUUAGCCAGUUGGCGGGGUAACGGCCCACCAAAGCGACGAUCAGUAGCCGACCUGAGAGGGUGACCGGCCACAUUGGGACUGAGACACGGCCCAA